Myotis brandtii (Brandt's bat) is the source of this 77-nucleotide long non-coding RNA. RefSeq lists it as uncharacterized. The record is from RefSeq and is a predicted model, not a curated record. The transcript has 3 exons. NCBI's taxonomy places the organism in Eukaryota, Metazoa, Chordata, Mammalia, Chiroptera, Vespertilionidae.
GUUCAGUCCCGUAUUAGGGUACAUACAAGAAAUAACCAAUGAAUGCAUAAAUAAGUGGAACAGCAAGUCAGUGUUUU